UGGUGCAUGGCUGUCGUCAGCUCGUGUCGUGAGAUGUUGGGUUAAGUCCCGCAACGAGCGCAACCCUUGUUUUUAGUUGCCUUUUAUGGAACUCUAAAAAGACUGCCGGUUAUAAACCGGAGGAAGGUGGGGAUGACGUCAAGUCAGCAUGCCCCUUACACCCUGGGCUACACACGUGCUACAUUGGGCGAGACAAUGAGAUGCAAAUCUGUGAAGACUAGCUAAUCUAUAAACUCGUUCUAAGUUCGGAUUGUAGGCUGCAACUCGCCUACAUGAAGGUGGAAUCGCUAGUAAUCGCUGGUCAGCUAUACAGCGGUGAAUUCGUUCCCGGGCCUUGUACACACCGCCCGUCACACCAUGGAAGCUGGUUAUACCCGAAGUCAUUACUCUAACCAUUUGGGGGAGGGUGCCUAAGGUAGAAUUAGUGACUGGGGUGAAGUCGUAACAAGUAACCUAC
Molecule: ribosomal RNA, 457 nt
Filed under: uncultured bacterium
Lineage: Bacteria
Description: bacterial SSU rRNA
Rfam family: Bacterial small subunit ribosomal RNA
Source: RNAcentral